GCCAGGCACAGUGGUGCUCGCCUGUAAUCCCAGCAGCUCAGGAGGCUGGGGCAGGAGGUUUGCAAGUUCAAGGCCAGCCUCAGCAACUUAGUGAGGCCCUAUGCAACUCAGUGAGAUCCUGUCUCUA
This 127-nucleotide small RNA is filed under the name Marmota monax (woodchuck). Lineage: Eukaryota; Metazoa; Chordata; Mammalia; Rodentia; Sciuridae. The record is from RNAcentral.